CGUACGCGAUCGCUUCGCCGACCUUUAAAAAGGACAGACAUGACAGAGGUUUGUUGACAAACAAUUGCCACUGGAAUCCUCUCUUCAUUCCAGAGCACUGGCAUUACAGGAUUGGAAACCAUGAUAGAUCGGUCAUUUUAUCUCGGACACACAAAAGGAGCUAUAUAGGGGGCAUACAACAGGCGGUGGGAUAGGAACUGCAAAUCUGGGCUCAAUGUCAUGGCUCUGUUUAAUCAAAGAAUCAGCACUUACAGAAGUUUCUUGUGGGAACACAUGGGAUCUUCAGUGCAAG
Asterias rubens (European starfish) is the source of this 292-nucleotide long non-coding RNA. RefSeq lists it as uncharacterized. The record is from RefSeq and is a predicted model, not a curated record. NCBI's taxonomy places the organism in Eukaryota, Metazoa, Echinodermata, Asteroidea, Forcipulatida, Asteriidae. The transcript has 3 exons.